RNAcentral lists this ribosomal RNA (827 nucleotides) under Sticta fuliginosa. Its description in RNAcentral is "eukaryotic LSU rRNA". It matches the Rfam family "Eukaryotic large subunit ribosomal RNA", at positions 103 to 945 of the family's 3401-position model. The record is from RNAcentral. Lineage: Eukaryota; Fungi; Ascomycota; Lecanoromycetes; Peltigerales; Lobariaceae.
AACAGCUCAAAUUUGAAAUCUGGCUCCUUCGGGGUCCGAGUUGUAAUUUGUAGAGGGUGUUUCGGGCGCGAUGCCGGUCUAAGUUCCUUGGAACAGGACGUCGUAGAGGGUGAGAAUCCCGUAUGCGACCGGCGAUCAAGCCCGUGCGAAGCCCCUUCGACGAGUCGAGUUGUUUGGGAAUGCAGCUCAAAAUGGGUGGUAAAUUUCAUCUAAAGCUAAAUACCGGCCAGAGACCGAUAGCGGACAAGUAGAGUGAUCGAAAGAUGAAAAGCACUUUGGAAAGAGAGUCAAACAGUACGUGAAAUUGUUGAAAGGGAAGCGCUUGCAAUCAGACCGGUCCGGAGGCGAUCAGCCGCUGCUCGUCAGCGGUGCACUCGCCUGCGAUCCGGCCAGCAUCGGUUUGGGCGGCGGGACAAAAGUCCCGGGAAUGUAGCUUCUCUCGGGGAGUCUUAUAGCCCGGGUCGCAAUGCCGCCCGCCCGGACCGAGGACCGCGCUUCGGCUAGGAUGCUGGCGUAAUGGUUGCAAGCGACCCGUCUUGAAACACGGACCAAGGAGUCUAACAUCUAUGCGAGUGUUUGGGUGUCAAACCCGGGCGCGGAAUGAAAGUGAACGGAGGUGGGAACCCGUCAGACGGCGCACCAUCGACCGAUCCAGAUGUCUUCGGAUGGAUUUGAGUAUGAGCAUAGCUGUUGGGACCCGAAAGAUGGUGAACUAUGCCCGGAUAGGGUGAAGCCAGAGGAAACUCUGGUGGAGGCUCGCAGCGGUUCUGACGUGCAAAUCGAUCGUCAAAUCUAGGCAUAGGGGCGAAAGACCAAUCGAACCAUCU